Molecule: ribosomal RNA, 460 nt
Filed under: uncultured bacterium
Lineage: Bacteria
Description: bacterial SSU rRNA
Rfam family: Bacterial small subunit ribosomal RNA
Source: RNAcentral
AUACGGAAGGCAGCAGUGAGGAAUAUUGGACAAUGGGCGCAAGCCUGAUCCAGCCAUGCCGCGUGCAGGAAUAAGGUCCUAUGGAUUGUAAACUGCUUUUAUACAGGAAGAAACACACCCUCGUGAGGGUACUUGACGGUACUGUAUGAAUAAGGACCGGCUAACUCCGUGCCAGCAGCCGCGGUAAUACGGAGGGUCCAAGCGUUAUCCGGAAUCAUUGGGUUUAAAGGGUCCGUAGGCGGUUUAAUAAGUCAGUGGUGAAAGCCCAUCGCUCAACGAUGGAACGGCCAUUGAUACUGUUAAACUUGAAUUAUUUGGAAGUAACUAGAAUAUGUAGUGUAGCGGUGAAAUGCUUAGAGAUUACAUGGAAUACCAAUUGCGAAGGCAGGUUACUACUAAUAUAUUGACGCUGAUGGACGAAAGCGUGGGGAGCGAACAGGAUUAGAUACCCGAGUAGUCC